UUUGAGAAGUGGAAAAGAGCUCCAAGAUGCUAGAUAUGAGGAAGAAAAGCAAGUUGCACAAGAGCCUGCCCCAUCUGAAACCACCCUUGCGCCAUCUGCGCAACCCCAUCUCCAUGAGCCAGCCUCUCCAGCGCAAUCUGAAACAUCACCUGCGCAAAAGACUGAACCAAAGGAACGUUUUCACAUUCCACCUCCUUUUCCAAAAAGAUUUGAAAG
This 216-nucleotide long non-coding RNA is filed under the name Manihot esculenta (cassava). Its description in RNAcentral is "long non-coding RNA (MESC_LNC003993)". The record is from RNAcentral. Lineage: Eukaryota; Viridiplantae; Streptophyta; Magnoliopsida; Malpighiales; Euphorbiaceae.